RNAcentral lists this ribosomal RNA (491 nucleotides) under uncultured bacterium. RNAcentral's name for it is "partial 16S ribosomal RNA". It matches the Rfam family "Bacterial small subunit ribosomal RNA", at positions 29 to 506 of the family's 1533-position model. The record is from RNAcentral.
AGUGAACGCUGGCGGUAGGCCUAACACAUGCAGGUCGAACGGCAGCACAGUAAGAGCUUGCUCUUACGGGUGGCGAGUGGCGGACGGGUGAGGAAUACAUCGGAAUCUACUUUUUCGUGGGGGAUAACGUAGGGAAACUUACGCUAAUACCGCAUACGACCUACGGGUGAAAGCAGGGGAUCUUCGGGCCUUGCGCGUUUGAAUGAGCCGAGGCGGGAUUAGAUGGUUGGCGGGGUAAAGGCCCACCAAGGCGACGAUCCGUAGCUGGGCUGAGAGGAUGGUCAGCCAAACGGGAACUGAGACACGGUCCAGACUCCUACGGGAGGCAGCAGUGGGGAAUAUUGGACAAUGGGCGCAAGCCUGAUCCAGCCAUACCGCGUGGGUGAAGAAGGCCUGCGGGUGGUAAAGCCCUUUUGUUGGGAAAGAAAAGCAGCAGGUUAAUACCCCGCUGUUCGGACGGUACCCAAAGAAUAAGCACCGGCUAACUUCGU